GGGGCUGUAGCUCAGUAGUAAAGUGCUUGCCUAGAAAGCAUGAGGGCGGGGCUGGAGAGAUGGCUCAGAGGUUAAGAGCACUGACUGCUCUUCCAGGGGUCCUGAGUUCAAAUCCCAGCAACCACA
This 126-nucleotide transfer RNA is filed under the name Mesocricetus auratus (golden hamster). It matches the Rfam family "tRNA". From Rfam's summary of the family: Transfer RNA (tRNA) molecules are approximately 80 nucleotides in length. Their secondary structure includes four short double-helical elements and three loops (D, anti-codon, and T loops). Lineage: Eukaryota; Metazoa; Chordata; Mammalia; Rodentia; Cricetidae. The record is from Rfam by way of RNAcentral.